AUUGAACGCUGGCGGCAUGCCUUACACAUGCAAGUCGAACGGCAGCACGGGUGCUUGCUCCUGGUGGCGAGUGGCGAACGGGUGAGUAAUACAUCGGAACAUGUCCUGUAGUGGGGGAUAGCCCGGCGAAAGCCGGAUUAAUACCGCAUACGAUCUACGGCUGAAAGCGGGGGCCCUUCGGGCCUCGCGCUAUAGGGUUGGCCGAUGGCUGAUUAGCUAGUUGGUGGGGUAAAGGCCUACCAAGGCGACGAUCAGUAGCUGGUCUGAGAGGACGACCAGCCACACUGGGACUGAGACACGGCCCAGACUCCUACGGGAGGCAGCAGUGGGGAAUUUUGGACAAUGGGCGAAAGCCUGAUCCAGCAAUGCCGCGUGUGUGAAGAAGGCCUUCGGGUUGUAAAGCACUUUUGUCCGGAAAGAAAUCCUUGGCCCUAAUACGGUCGGGGGAUGACGGUACCGGAAGAAUAAGCACCGGCUAACUACGUG
RNAcentral lists this ribosomal RNA (486 nucleotides) under uncultured bacterium. RNAcentral describes it as "partial 16S ribosomal RNA". It matches the Rfam family "Bacterial small subunit ribosomal RNA", at positions 30 to 507 of the family's 1533-position model. The record is from RNAcentral.